RNAcentral lists this ribosomal RNA (1394 nucleotides) under uncultured bacterium. Its description in RNAcentral is "bacterial SSU rRNA". It matches the Rfam family "Bacterial small subunit ribosomal RNA". The record is from RNAcentral.
GAUGAACGCUAGCGGCAUGCCUAAGGUAUGCAAGUCGUGCGCAAAACCACUUUCGGGUGGUGGAAAGCGGCGGACGGGUGAGUAACGCGUAGAAACAUACCCCAGAGUGAGGGAUAAUUCCGGGAAACCGGGACUAAUACCGCAUAUUGUCUAAGGACAAAAGAUUUAUCGCUUUGGGAAUGGUCUGCGUCCGAUUAGCUUGUUGGUGAGGUAAAGGCUCACCAAGGCUAUGAUCGGUAGCUGGUUUGAGAGGAUGAUCAGCCACACUGGAACUGAGACACGGUCCAGACCCCUACGGGGGGCAGCAACUAGGAAUCUUCCACAAUGGACGAAAGUCUGAUGGAGCAAUGCCGCGUGCAGGAUGAAGGACUUCGGUUCGUAAACUGCUUUUAUAUGUGAAGAAUAUGACGGUAGCAUAUGAAUAAGGAUCGGCUAACUACGUGCCAGCAGCCGCGGUCACACGUAGGAUCCAAGCGUUAUCCGGAUUUAUUGGGCGUAAAGAGUUGCGUAGGCGGUAUAGUAAGCGAAUAGUGAAAUAGUGUGGCUCAACCAUACGAACAUUACUCGAACUGCUAAACUAGAGAGCGGAAGAGGUAGCUGGAAUUAUUAGUGGAGGAGUAAUAUCCGUAGAUAUUAGUAAGAACACCAAUGGCGAAGGCAGGCUACUGGUCCGUUUCUGACGCUCAGGCACGAAAGCGUAGGUAGCAAACAGGAUUAGAUACCCUGGUAGUCUACGCCGUAAACGAUGGAUACUAGCAUUCGGAGGUGUCGACCCCUUCGGUAGCGAAGCUAACGCGUUAAGUAUCCCGCCUGUGUAGUACGAGCGCAAGCUUAAAACAUAAAGGAAUUGACGGGGACCCGCACAAGCGGUGGAGCGUGUUCUUUAAUUCGAGGCUAAGCGAAGAACCUUACCAGGGCUUGAAAUCCUGCGAAAGUUUGCGAAAGCAGACCGUGCCUUCGGGAACGCAGUGACAGGUGCUGCAUGGCCGUCGUCAGCUCGUGUCGUGAGAUGUUGGGUUAAGUCCCGCAACGAGCGCAACCCCUGUACUUAGUUGUAUUUUUCUAGGUAGACUGCCUCGGUAACGGGGAGGAAGGAGGGGACGAUGUCUGGUCUUUAUUGCCCUUAUGUCCUGGGCUAGAAACGCGCUACAAUGGCCGGUACAAAGAGUUUAAGCGAAGUCGCGAGACGGAGCAAAUCUCAUCAAAGCCGGUCCCAGUUCGGAUAGCAGGCUGAAACUCGCCUGCUUGAAGUCGGAAUCGCUAGUAACCGCAGGUCAGCAUACUACGGUGAAUACGUUCCCGGGUCUUGUACACACUGCCCGUCAAGCCAUGGGAGUCACCAAUACCCGAAGUCUCACAUUCGUGGGCCUAAGGUAGGGGGGAUGACUGGGGUU